UCUCUUAUUCUACGUCGCGUAGACUCAUCCAACAAAGCCUAAAUUGGCUAAUUAUCCAUCUAAAUAACAUAAUUAGCUUAGUUAGCUCCUAAAUGGUCUAUUUAUUAAAAAUGACCUAUACUUAGCUAAUUAUCCUCGAAAUGACAUAAUUAGAUCCAAAAAGGCAUUCUUAGCCAAUUUAGCACGAAGAAGGGGACGAGAGGAGAAGAAAGAGGAAAAAUGAAAGGAAGGAAGA
This 235-nucleotide long non-coding RNA is filed under the name Hordeum vulgare. RNAcentral describes it as "long non-coding RNA (HVUL_LNC008691)". Lineage: Eukaryota; Viridiplantae; Streptophyta; Magnoliopsida; Poales; Poaceae. The record is from RNAcentral.